Molecule: ribosomal RNA, 449 nt
Filed under: uncultured prokaryote
Description: bacterial SSU rRNA
Rfam family: Bacterial small subunit ribosomal RNA
Source: RNAcentral
UCGGGAAUAUUAGGCAAUGGGCGAAAGCCUGACCUAGCCAUGCCGCGUGUGUGAAGAAGGCUUUAGGGUUGUAAAGCACUUUCAGAAGGGAAGAAAUAACCGUAGCUAAUAUCUGCGGGUGUUGACGUUACCUUCAGAAGAAGAUCCGGCUAACUCCGUGCCAGCAGCCGCGGUAAUACGGAGGGAUCGAACGUUAAUCGGAAUUACUGGGCGUAAAGCGCGCGUAGGCGGCUUGCCAAGCGAAGUGUGAAAGCCCCGGGCUCAACCUGGGAAUUGCAUUUCGAACUGGCAGGCUUGAGUGCAGUAGAGGGAGGUGGAAUUUCCUGUGUAGCGGUGAAAUGCGUAGAUAUAGGAAGGAACACCAGUGGCGAAGGCGGCCUCCUGGACUGACACUGACGCUGAGGUGCGAAAGCGUGGGGAGCAAACAGGAUUAGAUACCCCCGUAGUCC